RNAcentral lists this long non-coding RNA (1851 nucleotides) under Terrapene triunguis (Three-toed box turtle). RNAcentral's name for it is "Terrapene carolina triunguis (Three-toed box turtle) lncRNA (ENSTMTG00000013380.1)". The record is from RNAcentral. Lineage: Eukaryota; Metazoa; Chordata; Testudines; Emydidae.
CUCCACACUUUAGGCGCUGAGAGGGGAAAUCUCUGUCCGUGUUCGGCCCAUAGCCUCGCUGAUGGGGUUGCUGAUGGCUGUGCUGAUUCUGAGUGCUCCGAAUGCUGUGGCUCCAGCCUGCUGCUUCUCUCCGAGCCCAGGGCGGGGGCCGUGGGAAGGGCCUGGUUCAAGUGCAGAGGAUGGGUUACCGUCCUGAACUUCAAGCCUGGGAACAGCAGCCUUGGCGCUGCUUGCCUGUCUGACGGUGAAGCACACGUGCACUGGGCUGAGCUGGGUGAAACUCGCAACCUGUGCACAGGCCAGGCUCCAGGAACCGCUCACAGCCCCGGGGAGGUUUCAGAUCUCAGCAGUCCAGGCAGCAGCUGCUUCUUGGUUAAUUCACCUCCCAUCCGUAUGGGAGAGACUUUUCUUAGCGACAUGCUCUGUGUUGUGGCGAUUGGGGUCCCCUUCCUUGACAGGAGCAAAUCCCCAUCUACGCCCCUUCCCCAGGGAGCAGCCUGAUCCCUUAGACUCUAGUAGCUGGAGCUUUGCCUAGUUCUAAAGGAUCCACCCCAUGCUUUGGAGGAGGCUUAUUCCAGGUGGAAGAGAUCUCGCUGGGCCCCAGGGCGCUGGAACAGUCCGUGAGCUGUCCCGGGGCCAUUGCCUCUGGGGGGAGGGACUUGGGGAAGGCCCCUCCCACUCCCAAGGAUCUGCUGGGGGAAGGAGCGGUCUUCUCCGCAGAGCCGGAAGCCCAUCCUGUCCACUGCUGCUCCCUCCCGCCAGCAGGGCUGCAGGCCCCCAGAGGCCAUUGGGGAGCAGCUGCAGAGGGAAGGAAGACAGCUGGGAGCUGCGUUUUCCAAGGCGCUCGCUGCUGUCUCAUGACUGGCUCCGUCUCCUGGAAGGUGGCUCUGCUCUCGAAGCCAUAAAGAAAAGGAGCAGAGACGCGGCAGCAGUGCAGGGAGCUCCAGCUGCUGGGAGCCAAGGCAGAGAGGGGGCAGCUGUACCCCCUGCCCCGCGCUCAGCCAGGGAAAAUGAGCUGCCCGUCCACCCAGAGCGGGGAGCAGAUCGAGCCGCUCAGGUACCUCAGGAGGUGUGGUGGCUCAGCAGGGCUGCGGGAGGUGUCCAGAGCACUGGGAUGGUCUGGAUUAGUGCAGUCGCUGUGAUCUCAUUGGGGAGCCCAGGGAGCGGUACCAGGGCCAAGGAGAGAAGAAACUUCCAUUCUCAGUCCCUGGCAGGAGGAUUGGCCGGGCCCCUCCACAUUCGAGCAGAGGGGCGGCAUGGAGGAAGCACGAGGUACAGCCCACAGCCUCUGGGGGCGUCACCCAGCCCUGCCCCCACGUACAGCAGGGCUGUCAGCUACUCGGGCCUCCCGGCCCUUCUAGGGACGCCUCUCUCGGGAAGGAGAGAGAAAUCGUGUGGCACUUGUAUCAGGGACACAACGAUGCACCUCAGCCUUCAUGCUGACGGGACAAGCUGACGAGAGCUGUUCCCCAUGGCCCCCCCACAGGCUGACCUGGAAUGGGGCACACCCCAGAGCAUCAUCUCAAAGCCAGGAUUACCGGGAUGGGCCAGCUGGCAUCUCCCUGCCCUGUGGGAGGACCCACCUGCCAAGCACCCCUGGAAAUGGGACCUUGAGCCUGCCCUCUUCCACUCCCAGCUCCUGGGAGCCGAGUUGUCCUGGAGCUGGAAUAUCCCCAGCUGGGCCAGGGCCCUGCUUAGGGUGGCUCCUGCAGGCUGGCCCGGGGCAGGUUGGGGGACCUGCUGUGUGCUGGGGGUCAUGCCCCAUCUGGGCUCAUGUAGCAGGAGCUAAGAGACAUCGCUGUCCCGGCUCUAGACAGGUCUCUGCCCCCACUGGGCCUGUUCUGUCUGCUG